RNAcentral lists this ribosomal RNA (379 nucleotides) under uncultured bacterium. RNAcentral describes it as "bacterial SSU rRNA". It matches the Rfam family "Bacterial small subunit ribosomal RNA", at positions 521 to 896 of the family's 1533-position model. The record is from RNAcentral.
UAAUACGAAGGGGGCUAGCGUUGCUCGGAAUCACUGGGCGUAAAGAGCUCGUAGGCGGUUCGGUAAGUCGGGUGUGAAAACUCUGGGCUCAACCCAGAGAGGCCACCCGAUACUGCUGUGACUAGAGUGCGGUAGGGGAGCGGGGAAUUCCUGGUGUAGCGGUGAAAUGCGCAGAUAUCAGGAGGAACACCAGCGGCGAAGGCGCCGCUCUGGGCCGUAACUGACGCUGAGGAGCGAAAGCAUGGGUAGCAAACAGGAUUAGAUACCCUGGUAGUCCAUGCCGUAAACGUUGGGCACUAGGUGUGGGUCUCAACCAACGAGAUCCGCGCCGUCGCUAACGCAUUAAGUGCCCCGCCUGGGGAGUACGGUCGCAAGACUA